GGGCGUGUGGCUCAGUUGGUAGAGCGUUCGCUUAGCAUACUGUUCCCUUGUAUGCGAAAGGUCCUGGGUUCGAUUCCCAGCUCGUCCA
RNAcentral lists this transfer RNA (88 nucleotides) under Dichotomopilus funicola. RNAcentral's name for it is "tRNA-Ala". It matches the Rfam family "tRNA". Rfam says of the family: Transfer RNA (tRNA) molecules are approximately 80 nucleotides in length. Their secondary structure includes four short double-helical elements and three loops (D, anti-codon, and T loops). Further hydrogen bonds mediate the characteristic L-shaped molecular structure. tRNAs have two regions of fundamental functional importance: the anti-codon, which is responsible for specific mRNA codon recognition, and the 3' end, to which the tRNAs corresponding amino acid is attached (by aminoacyl-tRNA synthetases). tRNAs cope with the degeneracy of the genetic code in two manners: having more than one tRNA (with a specific anti-codon) for a particular amino acid; and 'wobble' base-pairing, i.e. permitting non-standard base-pairing at the 3rd anti-codon position. RNAcentral also lists the same sequence under 1 other name. Lineage: Eukaryota; Fungi; Ascomycota; Sordariomycetes; Sordariales; Chaetomiaceae. The record is from RNAcentral.